UCCCCGGGCAGUCCCGGUAAGCCGUCAAAGCCGCGGUCGCCCUUCACACCGGGUUCUCCAGGCACCCCACGCGCUCCGUCCGCUCCCGGCCGACCCCUCCUUCCGGGUUUCCCCGGCGGUCCGAUGAGGCCCUGCGGUCCUCGGGGUCCCUGAGGGCCGAAAUCGCCGCUUUCGCCCUUCAUGCCGACGCUGCCGGGUUGGCCCAUAGGUCCGGGCCGCCCGGUGUAUCCCAUAGGGCCGGGGGG
RNAcentral lists this long non-coding RNA (245 nucleotides) under Gallus gallus (chicken). The record is from RNAcentral. Lineage: Eukaryota; Metazoa; Chordata; Aves; Galliformes; Phasianidae.